AACGAACGCUGGCGGCGUGGAUUAGGCAUGCAAGUCGAACGGAUGUUUAGCUUUUUCGAACAUUAGUGGCGAAAGGGUGAGUAACACGUGGGAUACCUACCUUAGAGUUUGGGAUAACCAGUCGAAAGAUUGGCUAAUACCGGAUACGUUCAUGUACUUUCGAGUAUAUGAGGAAAGAUUGGGACCCCCUCACGGGGGCCUGUCGCUCUUAGAUGGGCCCGCGGCCUAUCAGCUAGUUGGUGAGGUAAUGGCUCACCAAGGCUAAGACGGGUAGCUGGAUUGAGAGGUUGGUCAGCCACACUGGAACUGAGACACUGUCCAGACAUCUACGGAUGGCUGCAGUCGAGAAUCUUUCGCAAUGGGGGAAACCCUGACGAAGCGACGCCGCGUGCAGGAUGAAGGUCUUCGGAUUGUAAACUGCUGUCGGCUGGGAAAAAAAGCUUCUGAUUAACAAUUAGAAGUCUUGAUGGUACCAGCAAAGGAAGCCACGGCUAACUCUGUG
Molecule: ribosomal RNA, 502 nt
Filed under: uncultured bacterium
Lineage: Bacteria
Description: bacterial SSU rRNA
Rfam family: Bacterial small subunit ribosomal RNA
Source: RNAcentral